This 601-nucleotide ribosomal RNA is filed under the name uncultured bacterium. RNAcentral describes it as "bacterial SSU rRNA". It matches the Rfam family "Bacterial small subunit ribosomal RNA", at positions 724 to 1329 of the family's 1533-position model. The record is from RNAcentral.
GCUGACGAGUCCUUUACUGACGCUAAAGCUCGAAGGUGCGGGUAUCGAACAGGAUUAGAUACCCUGGUAGUCCGCACGGUAAACGAUGGAUGCCCGCUGUUGGCGAUACAAUGUCAGCGGCCAAGCGAAAGCGUUAAGCAUCCCACCUGGGGAGUACGCCGGCAACGGUGAAACUCAAAGGAAUUGACGGGGGCCCGCACAAGCGGAGGAACAUGUGGUUUAAUUCGAUGAUACGCGAGGAACCUUACCCGGGCUUGAACUGCAGCAGAAGGAUUGAGAGAUCAUGACGCCCUUCGGGGCUGCUGUGGAGGUGCUGCAUGGUUGUCGUCAGCUCGUGCCGUGAGGUGUCGGCUUAAGUGCCAUAACGAGCGCAACCCCUUCCGACAGUUGCCAUCAGGUGAUGCUGGGCACUCCGUCGGUACUGCCACCGCAAGGUGUGAGGAAGGUGGGGAUGACGUCAAAUCAGCACGGCCCUUACGUCCGGGGCUACACACGUGUUACAAUGGGUGGUACAGAGAGUCGGUGCAUGGCAAUGUGCAUCCAAUCCUAAAAGCCAUCCUCAGUUCGGAUUGGGGUCUGCAACCCGACCCCAUGAAGCUGG